UCAUGAGGUUUAUUCUGGGUCCGGAUGAACGCGGGCGGUGUGCCCUAAUACAUGCAAGUCGAACGCGUUGGCCCCAAUUGAUUGAUGGGUGCUUGCACCUGAUGAUUUUGGUCGCCAACGAGUGGCGGAGGGGUGAGUAACAAGUAGGUAACCUGCCCCAGAGCGGGGGACAACAUUUGGAAACAGAUGCUAAUACCGCAUAAAAACGUUGUUGCUUGAACAACGCUUAAAAGAAGGCUUCUCGCUAUCACUUCGGAUGGACUGCGGUGCAUUAGCUUGUUGGUGGGGUAACGGCCUACCAAGGCGAUGAUGCAUAGCGAGUUGAGAGACUGAUCGGCCACAAUGGGACUGAGACACGGCCCAUACUCCUACGGGAGGCAGCAGUAGGGAAUCUUCCACAAUGGGCGCAAGCCUGAUGGAGCAACACCGCGUGAGUGAAGAAGGGUUUCGGCUCGUAAAGCUCUGUUGUUAAAGAAGAACACGUAUGAGAGUAACUGUUCAUACGUUGACGGUAUUUAACCAGAAAGUCACGGCUAACUACGUGCCAGCAGCCGCGGUAAUACGUAGGUGGCAAGCGUUAUCCGGAUUUAUUGGGCGUAAAGAGAGUGCAGGCGGUUUUCUAAGUCUGAUGUGAAAGCCUUCGGCUUAACCGGAGAAGUGCAUCGGAAACUGGAUAACUUGAGUGCAGAAGAGGGUAGUGGAACUCCAUGUGUAGCGGUGGAAUGCGUAGAUAUAUGGAAGAACACCAGUGGCGAAGGCGGCUACCUGGUCUGCAACUGACGCUGAGACUCGAAAGCAUGGGUAGCGAACAGGAUUAGAUACCCUGGUAGUCCAUGCCGUAAACGAUGAGUGCUAGGUGUUGGAGGGUUUCCCGCCCUUCAGUGCCGGAGGCUAACGCAUUAAGCAACCCGCCCCUGGCCACCUGGCCAAACACCG
This 936-nucleotide ribosomal RNA is filed under the name Limosilactobacillus fermentum. RNAcentral describes it as "bacterial SSU rRNA". It matches the Rfam family "Bacterial small subunit ribosomal RNA", at positions 9 to 873 of the family's 1533-position model. The record is from RNAcentral. Lineage: Bacteria; Bacillati; Bacillota; Bacilli; Lactobacillales; Lactobacillaceae.